GACGAACGCUGGCGGCGUGCUUAACACAUGCAAGUCGAGCGGUAAGGCUCCUUCGGGAGUACACGAGCGGCGAACGGGUGAGUAACACGUGAGCAAUCCGCCCUUCACACGGGGAUAACCCUCGGAAACGAGAGCUAAUACCCGAUACGACCACCUCAGGCAUCUUAUGGUGGUGGAAAGGUCCGGCGGUGAAGGAUGAGCUCGCGGCCUAUCAGCUUGUUGGUGGGGUAACGGCCCACCAAGGCAACGACGGGUAGCCGGCCUGAGAGGGUGACCGGCCACACUGGGACUGAGACACGGCCCAGACUCCUACGGGAGGCAGCAGUGGGGAAUAUUGGACAAUGGGCGAAAGCCUGAUCCAGCAACGCCGCGUGAGGGAUGACGGCCUUCGGGUUGUAAACCUCUUUCAGCAGGGACGAAGCGCAAGUGACGGUACCUGCAGAAGAAGCACCGGCCAACUACGUGCCAGCCGCCGCAGUAA
Molecule: ribosomal RNA, 481 nt
Filed under: uncultured bacterium
Lineage: Bacteria
Description: partial 16S ribosomal RNA
Rfam family: Bacterial small subunit ribosomal RNA
Source: RNAcentral